RNAcentral lists this ribosomal RNA (882 nucleotides) under uncultured Candidatus Saccharibacteria bacterium. RNAcentral's name for it is "bacterial SSU rRNA". It matches the Rfam family "Bacterial small subunit ribosomal RNA", at positions 571 to 1482 of the family's 1533-position model. The record is from RNAcentral. Lineage: Bacteria; Candidatus Saccharimonadota.
GUAGGCGGUUUACCAAGCAAGGCAUGAAAUAGUGUGGCUCAACCAUACUGCUAUGUUUUGAGCUGGUAGACUAGAGGAUGAGAGAGGUUAUUGGAAUUCCAAGUGUAGGAGUGAAAUCCGUAGAUAUUUGGAGGAACACCGAUGGCGUAGGCAGAUAACUGGCUCAUUCCUGACGCUCAGGCACGAAAGCGUGGGUAGCAAACGGGAUUAGAUACCCCGGUAGUCCACGCCGUAAACUAUGGAUGCUAGCUGUACACCGUAUCGACCCGAUGUGUAGCGAAGCUAACGCGUUAAGCAUCACGCCUGUGGAGUACGAGCGCAAGCUUAAAACAUAAAGGAAUUGACGGGGACCCGCACAAGCGGUGGAGCGUGUUGUUUAAUUCGAUGGUAAGCGAAGAACCUUACCAAGGCUUGAAAUCCUGAGAAGCACUGCGAAAGCAGAGUGUGCCUUCGGGAACUCAGUGACAGGUGCUGCAUGGCCGUCGUCAGCUCGUGUCGUGAGAUGUUGGGUUAAGUCCCGCAACGAGCGCAACCCCUAUGUUUAGUUGAAUUUUUCUAAACAGACUGCCCUGGUAACAGGGAGGAAGGAGGGGAUGAUGUCAGGUCAGUAUUACCCUUACGCCUUGGGCUACAAACACGCUACAAUGGCCAGUACAAAGGGUAGCCAAGUCGCGAGACGGAGCAAAUCCCAUCAAAACUGGUCUCAGUUCGGAUAGCAGGCUGAAACUCGCCUGCUUGAAGCUGGAAUCGCUAGUAAUGGUAAGUCAGCACAUUACCGUGAAUACGUUCCCGGGUCUUGUACACACCGCCCGUCAAACCAUGAAAGUGGCCAACACCCGAAGUCCGAUUUAUCGGCCUAAGGUGGGGGACAUGAUUGGGGUU